GAUGAACGCUGGCGGCGUGCCUAAUACAUGCAAGUCGAGCGAACGGACGAGAAGCUUGCUUCUCUGAUGUUAGCGGCGGACGGGUGAGUAACACGUGGAUAACCUACCUAUAAGACUGGGAUCACUUCGGGAAACCGUAGCUAAUACCGGAUAAUAUUUUGAACCGCAUGGUUCAAAAGUGAAAGACGGUCUUGCUGUCACUUAUAGAUGGAUCCGCGCUGCAUUAGCUAGUUGGUAAGGUAACGGCUUACGAAGGCAACGAUGCAUAGCCGACCUGAUAGGGUGAUCGGCCACACUGGAGGUAGGCCGCGGUCCAGACUCCUACGGGAGGGAGCAGUAGGGAAUCUUCCGCAGUGGUCGAAAGUCUGACGGAGCAACGCCGCGUGAGUUGUGAAGGUCUUCGGAUCGUAAAACUCUGUUAUUAGGGAAGAACAUAUGUGUAAGUAACUGUGCACAUCUUGACGGUACCUAAUCAGAAAGCCACGGCUAACUACGUG
RNAcentral lists this ribosomal RNA (497 nucleotides) under uncultured bacterium. Its description in RNAcentral is "partial 16S ribosomal RNA". It matches the Rfam family "Bacterial small subunit ribosomal RNA", at positions 28 to 507 of the family's 1533-position model. The record is from RNAcentral.